Molecule: non-coding RNA, 1435 nt
Organism: Pelobates cultripes (western spadefoot toad)
Lineage: Eukaryota; Metazoa; Chordata; Amphibia; Anura; Pelobatidae
Source: the annotation of a GenBank genome assembly
CACCCUCUCUGGCCCCGCCCCCUUCUUGGGGGGCCGCUCUGAUUGAAAAAUGUCCGAGCCUAAUUUUUUUCCCAGUUCGGCCCUGUCCACUACCCUUUCUAUAUCAUUGUUAGCUGUGACUGCUCCCACUGGAAGGCUAUUCCAGGUAUCCACUACCCUUUCUAUACCACUGUUAGCGCUCCCAGUGGAAGACUGUUCCAUGUAUCUACUACCCUUUCUAUAUCACUGUUACUGCUCCCACUGGAAGGCUAUUCCAGGUAUCUACUACCGUUUCUAAAUCAUUGUUACUGCUUCAACUGGAAGUGUAUUCCAGGCAUCUACUAACCUUUCUUUUUCACUGUUACUGCUCCCACUGGAAGGUUAUUCCAGGUAUCACUGCCCCCAAUGGAAGGCUAUUCCAGGUAUCUACUACCCUCUCUAUAUCGCUGUUACUGCUCCCACUGGAAAGCUGUUCCAGGUAUCUACUACCCUUUCUAUAUCCCUGUUACUGCCCCCACUGGAAGGCUAUUCCAGGUAUCUACUACCCUUUCUAUAUCACUGUUACUGCUUACACUGGAAGGCUAAUCCAGGUAUCUACUACCCUUUCUAUACCACUGUUACUGCCCCCACUGGAAGGCUAUUCCACGUAUCUAAUACCCUUUCUAUAUCACUGUUACUGCUUACACUGGAAGGCUACUCAAGGUAUCUACUACCCUUUCUAUACCACUGUUACUGCUCCCACUGGAAGGCUAUUCCAGGUAUCUACUACCCUUUCUAUACCACUGUUAGCCAUUAUUGCUUCCAAUGGAAGGCUAUUACAGGUAUCCACUACCCUUUCUAUAUCACUGUUACUGCUCCCACUGGAAGGCUAUUCCAGGUAUCUACUACCCUUUCUGUAUCACUGUUACUGCUUCCACUGGAAGGCUAAUCGAGGUAUCUUCUACCCUUUCUAUAUCACUGUUACUGCUCCCACUGGAAGGCUAAUCCAGGUAUCUACUACCCUUUCUAAAUCAUUGUUACUGCUUCAACUGGAAGUGUAUUCCAGGCAUCUACUACCCUUUCUUUUUCACUGUUACUGCUCCCACUGGAAGGUUAUUCCAGGUAUCACUGCCCCCACUGGAAGGCUAUUCCAUGUAUCUACUACACUUUCUAUAUCACUGUUACUGCUUCCACUGGAAGGAUAUUCCAGGUAUCUAUUACCCUUCCUAUAUCACUGUUACUGCUCCCACUGGAAGGCUAUUCCAGGUAUCUAAUACCCUUUCUAUAUCACUGUUACUACUCCCACUGGAAGGCUAUUCCAGGUAUAUACUACACUUUCUAUAUCACUGUUAGCCUUUAUUGCUUCCACAGGAAGGUUAUUCCAGGUAUCUAAUACCCUUUCUAUAUCACGGUCACUGCUUCCACUGGAAGGCUAUUUCAUGUAUUUAAUACCCUUUCUAUAUCACUGUUACUGCUC